GUGCAGCAGGCGCGAAACUUCCGCAAUGCGGGAAACCGUGACGGAGUCACCCCGAGUGCCACCCGAAGAGGGUGGCUUUUGCCCGGUCUAAAAAGCCGGGCGAAUAAGCGGGGGGCAAGCUUGGUGUCAGCCGCCGCGGUAAUACCAACCCCGCGAGUGGUCGGGACGUUUAUUGGGCCUAAAGCGUCCGUAGCCGGCCCGGUAAGUCCCUCCUUAAAGCCCACGGCUCAACCGUGGGAGCGGAGGGAUACUGCCGGGCUAGGGGGCGGGAGAGGCCGGGGGUACUCCUGGGGUAGGGGCGAAAUCCUAUAAUCCCAGGAGGACCACCAGUGGCGAAGGCGCCCGGCUAGCACGCGCCCGACGGUGAGGGACGAAAGCUGGGGGAGCAAAGGGGAUUAGAUACCCCCGUAGUCCCAGCUGUAAACGAUGCGGGCUAGGUGUUGGACGGGCUUCGAGCCCGUCCAGUGCCGUAGGGAAGCCGUUAAGCCCGCCGCCUGGGGAGUACGGCCGCAAGGCUGAAACUUAAAGGAAUUGGCGGGGGAGCAC
RNAcentral lists this ribosomal RNA (546 nucleotides) under uncultured archaeon. Its description in RNAcentral is "bacterial SSU rRNA". It matches the Rfam family "Archaeal small subunit ribosomal RNA", at positions 330 to 879 of the family's 1478-position model. The record is from RNAcentral.